Molecule: long non-coding RNA, 417 nt
Organism: Camelus dromedarius (Arabian camel)
Lineage: Eukaryota; Metazoa; Chordata; Mammalia; Artiodactyla; Camelidae
Exons: 4
Source: RefSeq, a predicted model, not a curated record
CUCUAUCGGGAAAGCUGCCUCCGCCGGCUGGCCUUAGGAAGUCUCUCCUCAGGUUUCCCUGAGGAAAACCAGUUAACUCAGCCCUGACCAAGGAGCCGGCCUGAGGUCUAGAAGGGAAGGUAGCAAAUGGUCGAGUCAAGAGAGCAACCCACACUAACAACAUACUAACGAUUCUACUGUCGCUUGAAUCCCCUGAGUGCGGGAAAUUAGCUACUGUAGAUGGGGCUGAUUUUGGGAAACAGCCUAAAGGUGAGAACACAGUGAGAAGGCAGCUGUCUACAAGCCUGAAAGAAAGCCCUCAGCAGAACCUGACCAUGCUGGCACCCUAAUUUGGACUUUCCAGCCUCCAGAAUGAGUCUUACCCAGAGAGAUGCAAUUGAAGCCCAAGGCAAAGGGCGGUGUAUCUCCAAGCUGAAU